Molecule: ribosomal RNA, 511 nt
Filed under: uncultured bacterium
Lineage: Bacteria
Description: bacterial SSU rRNA
Rfam family: Bacterial small subunit ribosomal RNA
Source: RNAcentral
AGAGAUAGAGUCUUCCCCUUCGGGGGACAAAGUGACAGGUGGUGCAUGGUUGUCGUCAGCUCGUGUCGUGAGAUGUUGGGUUAAGUCCCGCAACGAGCGCAACCCUUAAGCUUAGUUGCCAGCAUUAAGUUGGGCACUCUAAGUUGACCGCCGGUGACAAACCGGAGGAAGGUGGGGAUGACGUCAAAUCAUCAUGCCCCUUAUGAUUUGGGCUACACACGUGCUACAAUGGACAAUACAAAGGGCAGCUAAACCGCGAGGUCAUGCAAAUCCCAUAAAGUUGUUCUCAGUUCGGAUUGUAGUCUGCAACUCGACUACAUGAAGCUGGAAUCGCUAGUAAUCGUAGAUCAGCAUGUUACGGUGAAUACGUUCCCGGGUCUUGUACACACCGCCCGUCACACCACGAGAGUCUGUAACACCCGAAGCCGGUGGAGUAACCAUUUAUGGAGCUAGCCGUCGAAGGUGGGACAAAUGAUUGGGGUGAAGUCGUAACAAGGUAGCCGUAUCGGAA